GUCAGGAUGCUCGAGUGGUCUAAGGCGCUGUGUUAAGGUUUCAGUCUCUUCUGUAGGUGUGGGUUCAAAUCCCACUUCUGACA
This 83-nucleotide transfer RNA is filed under the name Ameiurus melas (black bullhead). It matches the Rfam family "tRNA". From Rfam's summary of the family: Transfer RNA (tRNA) molecules are approximately 80 nucleotides in length. Lineage: Eukaryota; Metazoa; Chordata; Actinopteri; Siluriformes; Ictaluridae. The record is from Rfam by way of RNAcentral.